UUCAGAUAUGGUGAUCUCGUACCGUUGAGCACUCAAGGCAAGAUUGUUGGAUCUAUGUGUGCCCUUAUUGGAGUGCUUACGUUGGCUCUACCAGUACCGAUUAUUGUGAGUUUA
Molecule: non-coding RNA, 114 nt
Organism: Angiostrongylus cantonensis (rat lungworm)
Lineage: Eukaryota; Metazoa; Nematoda; Chromadorea; Rhabditida; Metastrongylidae
Source: Rfam